UACUAUAGUUGUCUUUCGUUUUGGGUC
This 27-nucleotide small RNA is filed under the name Bombyx mori (domestic silkworm). RNAcentral's name for it is "ovarian small RNA-6160". Lineage: Eukaryota; Metazoa; Arthropoda; Insecta; Lepidoptera; Bombycidae. The record is from RNAcentral.